UACAGAGGUCUCAAGCGUUGUUCGGAUUCAUUGGGCGUAAAGGGUGUGUAGGUGGCGCGCUAAGUCGGGUGUGAAAUUUCGGAGCUUAACUCCGAAACUGCAUUCGAUACUGGCGUGCUUGAGGACUGGAGAGGAGACUGGAAUUCAUGGUGUAGCAGUGAAAUGCGUAGAGAUCAUGAGGAAGACCAGUGGCGAAGGCGGGUCUCUGGACAGUUCCCGACACUGAGACACGAAGGCCAGGGGAGCAAACGGG
RNAcentral lists this ribosomal RNA (253 nucleotides) under uncultured bacterium. RNAcentral describes it as "partial 16S ribosomal RNA". It matches the Rfam family "Bacterial small subunit ribosomal RNA", at positions 524 to 776 of the family's 1533-position model. The record is from RNAcentral.